RNAcentral lists this ribosomal RNA (488 nucleotides) under uncultured bacterium. Its description in RNAcentral is "bacterial SSU rRNA". It matches the Rfam family "Bacterial small subunit ribosomal RNA", at positions 30 to 520 of the family's 1533-position model. The record is from RNAcentral.
AUUGAACGCUGGCGGAAUGCUUUACACAUGCAAGUCGAACGGUAGAGGGGGCAACCCCUUGAGAGUGGCGAACGGGUGAGUAAUAUAUCGGAACGUGCCCAGUCGUGGGGAUAACGUAGCGAAAGUUACGCUAAUACCGCAUACGAUCUACGGAUGAAAGCGGGGGAUCGCAAGACCUCGCGCGAUUGGAGCGGCCGAUAUCAGAUUAGGUAGUUGGUGAGGUAAAGGCUCACCAAGCCGACGAUCUGUAGCUGGUCUGAGAGGACGACCAGCCACACUGGGACUGAGACACGGCCCAGACUCCUACGGGAGGCAGCAGUGGGGAAUUUUGGACAAUGGGCGCAAGCCUGAUCCAGCCAUGCCGCGUGCAGGAUGACGGUCCUAUGGAUUGUAAACUGCUUUUAUACAGGAAGAAACACUACUUCGUGAAGUAGCUUGACGGUACUGUAAGAAUAAGGAUCGGCUAACUCCGUGCCAGCAGCCGACGG